GACGAACGCUGGCGGCGCGCUUAACACAUGCAAGUCGAGCGGUAAGGCUCCUUCGGGAGUACACGAGCGGCGAACGGGUGCGUAACACGUGCGUAAUCUGCCCCUCACUUCGGGAUAACCACCGGAAACGGUGGCUAAUACCGAUUACGACCAGUCUUCGCAUGAGGUGCUGGUGGAAAGUCUUUUCGGUUAAGGAUGUGCUCGCGGCCUAUCAGCUUGUUGGUGGGGUAAUGGCCUACCAAGGCUUCGACGGGUAGCCGGCCUGAGAGGGUGACCGGCCGCACUGGGACUGAGACACGGCCCAGACUCCUACGGGGGGCAGCAGUGGGGAAGAUUGGACAAUGGGCGAAAGCCUGAUCCAGCAACGCCGCGUGAGGGAUGACGGCCAUCGGGUUGUAAACCUCAAUAAGUACCGACGAAGCGACCUGUCGGGUGGUGACGGUAGGUACAGAAGAAGGACCGGCCAACUACGUG
RNAcentral lists this ribosomal RNA (474 nucleotides) under uncultured bacterium. RNAcentral's name for it is "partial 16S ribosomal RNA". It matches the Rfam family "Bacterial small subunit ribosomal RNA", at positions 28 to 507 of the family's 1533-position model. The record is from RNAcentral.